GAUUGAUAUUAAGGGGCUCGCAGUAUAUUGACUGUACAAAGGUAGCAUAAUCAAUAGUCUUUUAAAUGGAGACUUGUAUGAAAGAUUUGAUGAAAUAUAAACUGUCUCUAAUUUAAAAAUAGAAAUUAAUUUUUUAAUUAAAAAGUUAAAAUAUAUUUAAAAGACGAGAAGACCCUAUAGAGUUUUAUAAUUUAAUAAUAACAAUUAAUUAUAUAAAUUUAAAUUUUAAUUAGUAGAAUUAUUUUAUUGGGGUGAUAGAAAAAUUAAAAUAACUUUUUUUAAAAAUUAAACAUAAAUAAGUGAAUAUAUGAUCCAUAAUUAAUGAUUAAAAGAAAAAAUUACCUUAGGGAUAACAGCGUAAUUUUUUUUUUUAGUACAAAUAAAAAAAAAAGGUUGCGACCUCGAUGUUGGAUUAAAAUAAAAUUUAAAUGCAAAAGUUUAAAAUUUUGAUCUGUUCGAUCAUUAAAAUCUUACAUGAUCUGAGUUCA
RNAcentral lists this ribosomal RNA (488 nucleotides) under Vanessa indica (Asian admiral). RNAcentral describes it as "partial 16S ribosomal RNA". The stretch from base 349 to 488 matches the Rfam family "Archaeal large subunit ribosomal RNA", at positions 2542 to 2682 of the family's 2987-position model. Lineage: Eukaryota; Metazoa; Arthropoda; Insecta; Lepidoptera; Nymphalidae. The record is from RNAcentral.